AUAUGGCUUGGGGUAUUGGGUUCUGAAAUGAAACCGCUAUGAUUGGAAGGAAAUCACUAAAAUCAAAGGCCAACCACAUUGCUAUCAUAGGAGAGUAGACUCUGGGGUACAAGCCGUAAAACCGCCAUUCCAAUAUCCUCAUCAAUACAAUACUGCCCUCAAUGCAGACCAGAAAACAGAAGGCCUUCCUUCACUUAGCCUCGAGUUAAUUCUGUUCUGCAUAUUUUAUCAAAAUGUUUAACAUACAGAACUCUGCUGGGACAGAAUGAAAUUUUGCUAUGAGGCUGAAGACUUUGAAACAAAAAUGAAAAGCUUUUACACAGACAGAGCAAAUGGUUUGUGAUGGAUACAGACACGUUAUCCAUUUAAUCAAGAAAUAUUUAGUGUGGACGACGACGACGACGGUGAUGAUGAUGACAGUGAGUCAUCAUAAAUUUUUGCUCAAGGUGGUGAAAUACAAAGCCGCACCCCACUGCAGAAACCUUUGAGUCAACAGAGGAGCGCACCAAUUCUAGUUGAGAAGUAAAUUAAGGUGUGAAAAUACUGCCCGUAAAGCUGUGAAACUUGGCUUGUGGACAACCUGGAAAGCUUGCACUGAUUUAAAGACGCCAUGGGUAUUGAUUCUUUCUGUAUUUCUCCCCCAUUUGAUUGUCAGGGAGGAAGGGGGAUUAUUGCAGGAUAAAGAUUGCUUUUGGAAAAACGGG
This 704-nucleotide long non-coding RNA is filed under the name Mus spicilegus (steppe mouse). Its description in RNAcentral is "lncRNA (ENSMSIG00000012226.1)". The record is from RNAcentral. Lineage: Eukaryota; Metazoa; Chordata; Mammalia; Rodentia; Muridae.